CACUCUUUUUCCAACAUUAGUACUCAAAAAGGGUUAGUUUUAUGCCUUAAUUGAUGUGUUUUAUAUGUUGCAUUUUACACACAUCAGGUACGCACGCCAAGUGUUUGAUGAAAGGUCUAAAUGACAAUAUUAUGUGUUAUGCAAGUAGUGGGUGAAUAUGUAUAGAAUGUACCAAUGAAGUAAUUAGUGAUAGGUUAGCAGGAGAAAUGUGCUUUGGAUGGAUUUCAUGUGGUUAUCUAGUUUGCUGAAAUGAUUUAGUAAGAAGUAUAGUAUAUGAGAUUGUACUCUAUGUUUUAAUGGGUGGUGCACAUCAUGUGUAAGACAGCUUGCUUAAUGGUGAUUUAGAAAGGAAUGUGUACUAAAUGUAUAACUUUUAGACUUACUAGUAAAGGAUGAUGUUAUGAUUACGUUAAAUUGGCUAACUUGGUAUGUGGUUGUCAAAUGUAGAAUCAUGAAAGUAUUAGUAUGUGUAAAAUGAUUUUUGUGUAUAUGGUGUAUGGAAUCAAGUGAUCGUGUAGUUGUAUGUGCCACACAACAUGAAUAUGAAAUGCGUGUGACAUUAUUACAAUGGUCUACCAUAUCAAGAUAAGUGUGUAUUCAUAAGUUAGAAGAUAUAGAAAGUUUGAAAAUCGCAUGGUUAGGCAUGUUAACACAAAUAUAAGAUUAGAGAGAUCAUGAGAUAUGUGUUAGACCAAAUAUGUAUUAUGUAUGAUGAUGAAAUUCGGUUUGGUGGAUGUUGAACAAUGUGCUUGUCAAUUCAUGUCUUAUGCAUGUUCAUGAACUAUUAAUAAAAGUCGAUGUAACUAAGAGUUGAAAUGGAUGUUGAUAUGAAUGAGCAUCAUACUAACAAUGUUAUAAACAUGAGGACAUGAAAGGAUGAACCACAUUAGCAUGGGCUGAAGCAUGGAAGGCUAAUGGGUCAAGAGGAGGCAAAGAAGCAAGCACGCGUACGGACGCUUAAGGUGUGAAGGAAGAAAGUUCAAACUCUAAGAAACCGGAAGGAUCACAAGACCGAGGUAAAACUCCACUUUAGGCGAUUUGGAGAUAUGGAGCGAGCACAUGUUCAAGCCUUAUUAUACCAAGCGCUUCCGCUAGUUUAUAUGCAUACUUUUUGGGUCCAUGUCUUGUAGUUUUGUUUAAUCUUGUUAGAAGUCUACACUUGAAAACUUGUUGUCUUUGUUUGGGGUAGUUUAAAGUUAAAUGGAUCGUAGAUUGUCGUUAGUUUAAUAUCUUAUAAACAGGGGGCAUGCUCGUUUUACGAACGGGUCAUGCCCAAAUUUUCUAAGAAUUUCGUUAUGUAUUAAAUUUGGUAUUUUGAUGUCUUUAAA
Long non-coding RNA from Helianthus annuus (common sunflower), 1328 nucleotides. RefSeq lists it as uncharacterized. NCBI's taxonomy places the organism in Eukaryota, Viridiplantae, Streptophyta, Magnoliopsida, Asterales, Asteraceae. The transcript has 3 exons. The record is from RefSeq and is a predicted model, not a curated record.